RNAcentral lists this ribosomal RNA (573 nucleotides) under Triticum aestivum (bread wheat). Its description in RNAcentral is "partial small subunit ribosomal RNA". Lineage: Eukaryota; Viridiplantae; Streptophyta; Magnoliopsida; Poales; Poaceae. The record is from RNAcentral.
AUGUCUGGGAGUCUGAGAAGACCUUCCCAAGAAUCUGAUGUGUGCAGGAGAACGGAACCCCAAUCAGAUGGAGGCGGCUAUGCAAAAGGAACAACUUUGGCAGGGGAUCGUAGGAGCAAUCUUGAUCCAGCAGGCACACAGUUCGAUCCAGGCGGCUCUGCCAGAAAUCCUAACACUACGACACCGCAACUAGUGCACAAUACUGCAACAUCAGAAGCAUUGUCUUGUUUGGUGUGGAACUGUAGGGGGGUUGGGGGAUCCAGGACAGUCCGUGAUCUUGUAUCACUCAAUCAAGUGCAUCAUCCUCAGUUCAUAUUCUUGUGUGAAACGAGACAAAGAAAAGAGAGAGUCAGACGUUUAUGUAGCCGGCUAGGCCUGAGAGGCUAUGCCGGAGUUAGCAGUGAAGGCUUCAGCGGAGGGCUAGCACUCUUCUGGGAUGACAAGUUGCAUGUCGAAAUACAAGAUCUCAAUGAACGUUAUAUUGAUGUGCAUGUUGGCUUUGCUCCGGGUACUGUUUCAUGGAGAUUGACGUGUGUAUAUGGUGAGCCAAAGGUGGAAAAUAGACACCUCAUG